UAAUGCCUUUGGGAUGAAAUUUAAGACUUGGU
This 32-nucleotide non-coding RNA is filed under the name Mus musculus (house mouse). The record is from RNAcentral. Lineage: Eukaryota; Metazoa; Chordata; Mammalia; Rodentia; Muridae.